GAGUUUGAUCUUGGCUCAGGAUAAACGCUGGCGGCGUGCCUAAUGCAUGCAAGUCGAACGGUCUAGCUCGCAAGGGCUAGGUAGUGGCAAACGGGUGAGUAACACGUGGGGAUCUGCCCAGUAGUGGGGAACAACUCCGAGAAAUCGGAGCUAAUACCGCAUACGGUCUGUGUCGAAGGACACGAGACUAAAGCUCGCAAGGGCGCUAUUGGAGGAACCUGCGGCUGAUUAGCUAGUUGGUGGGGUAAAGGCCUACCAAGGCGAUGAUCAGUAGCUGGUCUGAGAGGAUGGACAGCCACACUGGGACUGAGAUACGGCCCAGACUCCUACGGAGGCGAGCAGCAAGGAAGUUUUACGUUCAAUGGGGGAAACCCGUACGAACGAGCAACGACCGCGUGGGCGAAGAAAGUC
Molecule: ribosomal RNA, 411 nt
Filed under: uncultured bacterium
Lineage: Bacteria
Description: bacterial SSU rRNA
Rfam family: Bacterial small subunit ribosomal RNA
Source: RNAcentral